GAUGAACGCUGGCGGCGUGCCUAACACAUGCAAGUCGAACGGAGAUUAUUCGCUGCGGAGCCUUCGGGCGAAGCUUGAAUGAUCUUAGUGGCGGACGGGUGAGUAACGCGUGGGCAACCUGCCUUGCACAGGGGGAUAGCAGUUGGAAACGACUGGUAAUACCGCAUAUCUUAGAGAGACCGCAUGAUCUUUUUAAGAAAACGUUAGUGGUGCAAGAUGGGCCCGCGUCCGAUUAGAUAGUUGGUGGGGUAACGGCCUACCAAGUCGACGAUCGGUAGCCGACCUAAGAGGGCGGACGGCCACAUUGGGACUGAGACACGGCCCAGACUCCUACGGGAGGCAGCAGUGGGGAAUAUUGCACAAUGGAGGGAACUCUGAUGCAGCGACGCCUCGUGGGUGAAGAAGUAUUUCGGUAUGUAAAGCUCUAUCAGUAGGGAAGAUAAUGACGGUACCUACAUAAGAAGCCCCGGCUAAAUACGUGCCAGCAGCCGCGGUAAUACGUAUGGGGCAAGCGUUAUCCGGAUUUACUGGGUGUAAAGGGAGCGUAGGCGGCAGUACAAGUCGGGAGUGAAAACUCGGGGCUCAACCCCGAGACUGCUCUCGAAACUGUACAGCUAGAGUGCAGGAAGGGCAGGCGGAAUUCCUGGUGUAGCGGUGAAAUGCGUAGAUAUCAGGAGGGAACACCGGUGGCGAAGGCGGCCUGCUGGACUGUAACUGACGCUGAGGCUCGAAAGCGUGGGGAGCGAACAGG
Molecule: ribosomal RNA, 751 nt
Filed under: uncultured Eubacteriales bacterium
Lineage: Bacteria; Bacillati; Bacillota; Clostridia; Eubacteriales
Description: bacterial SSU rRNA
Rfam family: Bacterial small subunit ribosomal RNA
Source: RNAcentral